Molecule: long non-coding RNA, 2918 nt
Filed under: Nicotiana tabacum (common tobacco)
Lineage: Eukaryota; Viridiplantae; Streptophyta; Magnoliopsida; Solanales; Solanaceae
Description: long non-coding RNA (NTAB_LNC006115)
Source: RNAcentral
GGCAUAAAUAAUGAAUUUAGGUGACUAAAUCAUGAUAAAAGCAGUACGAAGGAUAAUUAUUGGAUAUUUAUGUAAUAAAAAAAUGAGAAAUAAAUUAAUUUGGAGCCUUUAAAACUAUAAAAAAAUAUAAAAAAUGUUUAUGCAUGAUUAUAACUGCAUAUGUACUAUUUUAAAAGUAUAUAUAGGUAUUAAAAAUAUGUGAGGGAAAAUUGGGUAUCAAUAGGCAUGGCUUCGGCCUCGACCUCUACCCCUCGUAGAAACUGCCACUGGGGGCUCUAUCUGUUGCUCGGCUGAAGAUAUAGUGCAUGUUCUCUCCAUCUGCAAGAGAAUAGAAUAGAAGGAUUCAAUCAGCAAUGAUAGAAUAAAAAUCACUCGACAGAGAAGAAUAGAAGUGAAAUUAUUCCUAACUUCAUAGCCUCUAGAAGAUAAGUAUAGACUUAUCCAUACUGAUCCUCUAGACUCUACUAAGCUUUCUCGUGACUCAUGAGACCUAUGUAACCUAGUGCUCAGAUACCAACUUAUCAUAAUCCGAAAUUCCCAUCGUCGGGACCGUGAUGGCGUCGAACAUUUCACUUGUUAGGCAAGCCAACGUUAGAACAAUUUACUUCUUUUAACAGUUUAAAUGAUAACAUUAAUAAAGAAAUGAAAUAACUGAAAUAUUCUAAGUGUAAAUGCGGAAGCUAAACAAGACAAACAUUUAUUACAAAUCUCUGAACCUGGUGUCACAAAUGCACGAGCUUCUAGAGUAAUACAUAUAAGGGUUUAAAAUAAAUACAAAGUUGUUUGAAUCGAAAUAUACAUCUAAAUAGAAAGACUCCAGGAGCUGUGAGCACUGAACAGUCGUACCUCAAGUCUCCAAAAUUGUCCAAUCCGAGCAUGCUAAUAACCGCCGCUGGGACCGACUCCAAAAUCUGCACAGUGUGCAGAGUGCAGUAUCAGUACAACCGACCUUAUGUGUCACACCUCCUUUCUACCCGAAAAGGGGUAUAAGGGAGUUUUUUUCAAUUUAAGUGACAUUAUUUGAAAUGGGAUUAUUUUAUUUAUUUAGAGUCGCCACUUGGAAUAUUUAUUAUGGUGUCCCAAGUCACUGAUUUAUUUUAAAAAUUCCAAAUCGAGGAAAUUUUACUUCAUUUAAAAAGUCUGCGAAACCAUAAAAACUAGGUAAGGAAUUGUGUUAACCCGGGAGAGGGUAUUAGGCAUUCUUGGGUUCCGUGAUUCUAGCAUGGUCGCUUAACUAUUAAUAAUUGGCCUAAUUAUAUGAUUUAUUACAUGUUUUACACCUUUUGUGCAUUUUUAACUUUAUAACCGCUUUUAAUUAUUUUAAACCACUUUUAGGAUUUAUGGAAUUAUUUCUUGAACAAGUUACGAUUGUCGUAGACUUGCCAUUUUGGAACACGUUGCAAACCAUGCUACAUGAAAUGCACCCGCGAUUUGCGAUAUGUUUAUUUUAUUAUUGUUCAAAGUUGUGGUCGGGUCACAUGAAAUGCACACCCGAAUGGGGUUUAUGUAUCAUGACUAUGCCACGGAAACUGUACCCAUAAUCACGAUGAUUUAUUAUUAAUCGCGCCUAAAGCCAGCUUCGAUGUUUAUAAGUUUAAAUAUUUUCCUAAAUUUAAGGUCAAGUGCAAAGGCCCAGAAAUUAUGGAAUGAUUUUGUUCUAGAGUGGAAAUGAAAUUUUUAUUUAUGAGCUUCGCAGCAUUCAGGAUUCAUUUGAAGCCUAUUAAUACAAUGGAUGAAAGCGCAGACUUGUUAAUCAAAACAUGCUCUACUUGGAAUUGUUCAGCAAUGCACCAAUUAUUGAAUGACUUAGCGAAAUGAUAAGUUAUAAGCAAUUAGCAGCCCACAAAAGACCUCUGACAGGUCCUGACAAAUUCUGAUUGUUGGGCCACAUGUGCAAAACAUGCCCAUUACAUAUUGUUACUAUCCAAAUGAAAACUAUAGGUCAUUGAAUAACCUAAAUCCCCAAUCAAACUAAUAAUGCAUCUGAAGUAGAAUUCAUAAAUACAUGCUUUAUCCAUAAAUCCAAUAAACAAACCAUCAUUCUUAUGGAUACAACAUUAACAGAUUACCUCUACUUGUAUUAGUUAUACCCACUUCAUUGAAACACUUAAUUCUCACACCUUUAGAUAGUGAUACAAAUCAGAUUGACAUAGAGCAUAUAUCACAUUUUAUGGAUAACAAAGUCCAAUUGAUUCACAAAUUCAAUGAUUAACAUUUCAAUCAUUCUGAAAUUGAGUUGAAAUAGCAGCUCAAAGAAAAAACAAACAUACCUAAUUAACGAGAUGCCAUAGAAGAGAGGACGGCAGACAAACAGCUUCGGCAACAAACAACAUCAGUUCCCAAACUUCAAAUGUUUAGCAAAUCAAUUCAUCUCCCAAACUCUUUCCAAAUUUCAUUUUCCCUUUUCUUUUCAGAACGUUUUAUUCUCCAAAUCUCUCUUAUUUUAUUUUAUUUUUAUUUCUGAAACUUCGUUUUGUUUAGCCUCCAGUGAGUGAGAUGGAACAAAUUUUUUAGACUAUGAGGGAGCAUGUGUGAGAGAAAGAUGAGAGAAAAGAAAAGGAGGCGGAUUAGGGUUGGAUAUAAAGGGAAGUCCGAUUCUCAAUUAGAAAAGGGGAAAUUAGAACGCCGAAGAUGAGAGAAUGAGAGAGUCGUUCUUGUUUUUGCUUGCUUCUCCUUGAAGAUUAUAGAAGGUCAGAAAAUAAGAGUGAAGAAGAAGAAGAAAGGGAGGUAUUGUGGUGCUAAGGUUUUUAGAGAUUUGGGGGAGGGUCGUUCGUUUUUUCAAAGGGGAGGGUCUGUUCUUGGUGAUGGUGAAAAUGGAGAAAAAGAAGGAAUCCCCAGAAGGGUCGUUUGUAGUUUUAGAGAGAGAGGGAUUAGGUCUGAUCUUUUAGGUCUCUCCUCUUUAAUGUGAGGGAUCUCCC